CUUCCCCCACCUCUGGGGUGGUGGUCCUCUUCCCUUCCUUUUCACCGCAGCUGGCCCUGUGGUUCUCCACGUGGCUUCUCAUGCGUGGUGCCUUCCUUUCCUCCCAACCCCCCUCUCCAGACCUGGGGUGGGGGUGAUGGGAUGGGGGUCAGUCCACUUGCCUUAAAUCUCUCCUCUCUUGUCUAUCUUUUCUCCCACUGCCUCUUUCCCCUUCCCUCCCUCCCUCCAAUGUUUCACAGAAACUUCCUCCACUUUCUUUCUUGUUCUUUGGCUUUUCCUUCUAGGAGGCAGUGAAGAGUGAAGCUGGGAUGUUGAUAGCUGACCUCAAGAAAAGUCACCCGCAGUGGGCUCUCUUAAGGCCUCAACCAGGAGAGACCAAUGAGGGUGCCACACGCCUUUGUGGAAAGGGCUGGAACCAGGUCUCAACCCAGCCAGAGAGCUCACAAGGAGAAAAGCAGUGCUCUCCAGUGCGGUCCACGGAGCCCCGGAGUCCCAGGACCCCUUCAGAGGUCUUCGAGGCCUAAAGAUUCAGAACCAUGUGUGCUGGUGGGACCUCUCUGCCUGAACACUCGCAAACAGCUUAAACUCAGAAUGGAGAACUGGCCGCAUCGCCUUCCUUGCUCUACAGGACACUUGUGUUUGGCACCUCGUGUCCUCUGUCCUCGUCUGAGCUGCCGUGGCCGGGGUGGCCCCUCUUCACUUCCUGCCCAGGGGGCUCCUCUGAUGCCGGCAGGAGCUCCCUUGGCCUCUGCACGAACACAGCUCCUAAGUAGAGGGAGUCAAUGCCCCAGGCACCCUUGACAGUGAGAGACGCGAGCCUGUGGAUAAUCACUCCAUCUUCCGGGCAGACAAUUUGAGGAGGCGUUUGAAAACUUCUCAGCAAGUCCAGACGGAGUCCAGUCCCCGUUGCCCACAGCAUCCACCUCAAUGAGACAGCUUCUCUCAGCUUUUCCUCCUUCCCUGUCCCUCUCUCCCCAGCCCUCGCUCCUGUUCCCUAGGGCCACCUCCCAAAUAAAGUGCCUAGAGCCAAGCCUAGUCAGACUUUGUUCUCUCAGACCCUGUAGCAGUGUGCUGCAGAGGCCGUAACCAAGACGGAGGGGCUUAAACGAUGGAAAUGUCUUGUCUCGCAGUCUGGAGGCUGGAAGUCCAAAAUCACGGUGUUGGCAGGGCUGGUUUCUGAGGCCUGUGUGGGAAGGACGGUCCAGGCCUCUCCCCUUGGCUUGCAGAUGCCAUCUACUCCCGGUGUCUCUGCACUUCAUCUUCCCUUUGUGUCUGUCACGGGGUCCCAAUUUUCCCCUUUUAGGAGGACACCAGUCACACUGAAUUAGGGCCCAUCCUAAUGACCUCGUUUUCACUUGAUUAUCUCUGUAAAGACUCUGUCUCCAAAUGAAGUCCUAUUUGGAAGUCCCGGAGGUCAGGACUUCAAUAGAGAGAGGCGGGGGGAAAGGGCUCACGAUUCGACCCAUGACAGAUAGCAAAGCCAAGACAGACACGGACCUCAAAAGCGCAUUUUCAGGUGGGAUGUGGAACUGGAUCCCCUACUAGUCAGACAGCAGCAAGGACCCAAGGCUGGAAAAGACAGGGAGGUGGGGCUGGCCCCGUGGCCGAGUGGUUAAGUUCGUGCGCUCCGCUGCAGGCGGCCCAGUGUUUCGUCAGUUCGAAUCCUGGGCGCGGACAUGGCACUGCUCAUCAAGCCACGCUGAGGCAGCGUCCCACAUGCCACAACUAGAAGGACCCACAACGAAGAAUAUGCAACUAUGUACCUGGGGGCUUUGGGGAGAAAAAG
RNAcentral lists this long non-coding RNA (1786 nucleotides) under Equus caballus (horse). RNAcentral describes it as "lncRNA (ENSECAG00000048981.1)". The record is from RNAcentral. Lineage: Eukaryota; Metazoa; Chordata; Mammalia; Perissodactyla; Equidae.